GUCUAUGGCCAUGCUACCCUGAACAAGACCAAUCCUGUCUGAUCUCAGAAGCUAAGCAGAGUCAGGCCUGAUUAUCCUGAAUGGGAGACCACCUAGGAAGACCAGGUGCUGUAGGUG
This 117-nucleotide ribosomal RNA is filed under the name Pteropus alecto (black flying fox). The record is from RNAcentral. RNAcentral also lists the same sequence under 1 other name. Lineage: Eukaryota; Metazoa; Chordata; Mammalia; Chiroptera; Pteropodidae.